RNAcentral lists this ribosomal RNA (406 nucleotides) under uncultured bacterium. Its description in RNAcentral is "partial 16S ribosomal RNA". It matches the Rfam family "Bacterial small subunit ribosomal RNA", at positions 30 to 526 of the family's 1533-position model. The record is from RNAcentral.
AUUGAACGCUUGCGGCAGUCUUAACACAUUCAAGUCGAUCGAGCGGCUUACGGGUUAGUAAUGUCUGUUAAAGUUCCUGAUGGAGGUAUAUAACUACGGGAAACGGUAGCUAAUACCGCAUAGCAUCAGAUGUGCCCAGAUGGGAUUAGCUAGUAGGUGGGGUAAUGGCUUACCUCGGCGACGAUCCCUAGCUGGUCUGAGAGGAUGCACCGCCCAACUGGAACUGAGACACGGUCCAGACUCCUACGGGAGGCAGCAGUGGGGAAUAGUGCACAAUGGGCGCAAGCCUGAUGCAGCCAUGCCGCGUGUGUGAAGAAGGCCUUCGGGUUGUAAAGCACUUUCAGCGAGGAGGCGUUACUCGCAGAAGAAGCACCGGCUAACUCCGUGCCAGCCGCCGCGGUAAUUC